RNAcentral lists this long non-coding RNA (602 nucleotides) under Phascolarctos cinereus (koala). Its description in RNAcentral is "lncRNA (ENSPCIG00000034842.1)". Lineage: Eukaryota; Metazoa; Chordata; Mammalia; Diprotodontia; Phascolarctidae. The record is from RNAcentral.
AUCAUUAGAGCAAAAGCAACCGUUACAUUCCUAAUUUGUGCAUGUUUUUCUUCCUCCUUCUUGAACAGAAUGGAAGAUUACCUUGUGAAAACUGAAUGAAGUUCUGCAAAACGCAAGAGAUCUUCAUUCCAGUGAAAUCACUGCUCCAGUCCCUGAGGGGACUUCUACUGGGGAAGCAACAUGCACAUCUGUCUACUUGCUCACCUGUGAAGUCUAUACAGCACGGGAGGAUGAGGAAGUCAUUCUACAUGAGCCCAUCUCAGCAGUUGAAGAGUUGCUGCACCAUGAGCCCAUAGCCAGGAACAUAAUAAGUGUCGCUGCUGAUAAGGUAGUCUGUCAUGACUGGGACCGGCGGGCAUGGGGGAGGAGGAAGUGGGCCAGGCUGGUGGAAGACCAGGGUAGAGCUGUGUGAGAUUGAUGUUUCUCCCCAUGGUUUAAGAUUAUUAUUACAACAGCAUAAGAUAAUUAGCACUGAUAACAGAAACAUGUAUUCAAAAAUUAUCCUUUUUUUGUUUUAGCCAUCAAUGGAUAGGCAAUCUUGCAGUCUUUUCUGGUUUCUUUUCCCCCAGUAUCUAAUAAACCAUGUUUACUGACUCUCUCCC